AGCAGCCGCGGUAAUUCCAGCUCCAAUAGCGUAUAUUAAAGUUGUUGCAGUUAAAAGCUCGUAGUUGAAUUUCGGGAUCAUCAGGUCGGUCGUGCCUCCGGUAUGUACUGGUCUUGGUGGUUCCUCCUUCCUGAUGAACCGUAAUGCCAUUAAUUUGGUGUUGCGGGGAGACUGGACUGUUACUUUGAAAAAUUAGAGUGUUUAAAGCAGGCUAACGCUUGAAUACGUUAGCAUGGAAUAAUGAAAUAGGACGUUCGAUCUUAUUUUGUUGGUUUCUAAGAUUGACGUAAUGAUUAAUAGGGAUAGUUGGGGGCAUUAGUAUUCAAUUGUCAGAGGUGAAAUUCUUGGAUUUAUUGAAGACUAACUACUGCGAAAGCAUUUGCCAAGGAUGUUUUCAUUAAUCAAGAACGAAAGUUAGGGGAUCGAAGACGAUCAGAUACCGUCGUAGUCUUAACCAUAAACUAUAGCCGACUAGGGAUCGGAUGAUGUAAUUUUUAAUGACUCAUUCGCGCCUUCGGGA
Molecule: ribosomal RNA, 520 nt
Filed under: uncultured Glomus
Lineage: Eukaryota; Fungi; Glomeromycota; Glomeromycetes; Glomerales; Glomeraceae
Description: SSU rRNA
Rfam family: Eukaryotic small subunit ribosomal RNA
Source: RNAcentral